UACGAGGGGGGCGAGCGUUGUUCGGAAUUAUUGGGCGUAAAGGGUGCGUAGGCGGUUUGGUAAGUCUGAUGUGAAAUCUAUGGGCUCAACUCAUAGUCUGCAUCGGAAACUGCCGGGCUUGAGUGUGGGAGAGGUGAGUGGAAUUCCUGGUGUAGCGGUGAAAUGCGUAGAUAUCAGGAGGAACACCUGCGGUGUAGACGGCUUACUGGACCAUAACUGACGCUGAGGCACGAAAGCGUGGGUAGCAAACAGG
Molecule: ribosomal RNA, 253 nt
Filed under: uncultured bacterium
Lineage: Bacteria
Description: partial 16S ribosomal RNA
Rfam family: Bacterial small subunit ribosomal RNA
Source: RNAcentral